Non-coding RNA from Podarcis lilfordi (Lilford's wall lizard), 74 nucleotides. NCBI's taxonomy places the organism in Eukaryota, Metazoa, Chordata, Lepidosauria, Squamata, Lacertidae. The record is from the annotation of a GenBank genome assembly.
GCCUGGAUAGCUGAGUUGGUUAGAGCAUGGUAGUGAUGACGCCAAGGUUGCAGGUUCGAUCCCUGUAUGAGACA